This is a long non-coding RNA of Oncorhynchus keta (chum salmon), 1504 nucleotides long. RefSeq lists it as uncharacterized. The record is from RefSeq and is a predicted model, not a curated record. The transcript has 3 exons. NCBI's taxonomy places the organism in Eukaryota, Metazoa, Chordata, Actinopteri, Salmoniformes, Salmonidae.
GAUAAUAUUUCCCAUCUUGUUUUGUUUUGUCUUUCAUACCGUGUCAUGUCUCUUCUCAGUCAUGUUGACACUGGUCUACUACCAGGUCAUGUGUCUUCUCAGUCAUGUUGACACUGGUCUACUACCAGGUCAUGUCUCUUCUCAGUCAUGUUGACACUGGUCUACUACCAGGUCAUGUCUCUUCUCAGUCAUGUUGACACUGGUCUACUACCAGGUCAUGUGUCUUCUCAGUCAUGUUGACACUGGUCUACUACCAGGUCAUGUGUCUUCUCAGUCAUGUUGACACUGGUCUACUACCAUGUCAUGUGUCUUCUCAGUCAUGUUGACACUGGUCUACUACCAGGUCAUGUGUCUUCUCAGUCAUGUUGACACUGGUCUACUACCAGGUCAUGUCUCUUCUCAGUCAUGUUGACACUGGUCUACUACCAGGUCAUGUGUCUUCUCAGUCAUGUUGACACUGGUCUACUACCAGGUCAUGUGUCUUCUCAGUCAUGUUGACACUGGUCUACUACCAGGUCAUGUGUCUUCUCAGUCAUGUUGACACUGGUCUACUACCAGGUCAUGUGUCUUCUCAGUCAUGUUGACACUGGUCUACUACCAGGUCAUGUGUCUUCUCAGUCAUGUUGACACUGGUCUACUACCAGGUCAUGUGUCUUCUCAGUCAUGUUGACACUGGUCUACUACCAGGUCAUGUGUCUUCUCAGUCAUGUUGACACUGGUCUACUACCAGGUCAUGUCUCUUCUCAGUCAUGUUGACACUGGUCUACUACCAGGUCAUGUGUCUUCUCAGUCAUGUUGACACUGGUCUACUACCAUGUCAUGUGUCUUCUCAGUCAUGUUGACACUGGUCUACUACCAGGUCAUGUGUCUUCUCAGUCAUGUUGACACUGGUCUACUACCAGGUCAUGUGUCUUCUCAGUCAUGUUGACACUGGUCUACUACCAGGUCAUGUGUCUUCUCAGUCAUGUUGACACUGGUCUACUACCAGGUCAUGUGUCUUUUCAGUCAUGUUGACACUGGUCUACUACCAGGUCAUGUCUCUUCUCAGUCAUGUUGACACUGGUCUACUACCAGGUCAUGUGUCUUCUCAGUCAUGUUGACACUGGUCUACUACCAGGUCAUGUGUCUUCUCAGUCAUGUUGACACUGGUCUACUACCAGGUCAUGUGUCUUCUCAGUCAUGUUGACACUGGUCUACUACCAGGUCAUGUGUCUUCUCAGUCAUGUUGACACUGGUCUACUACCAGGUCAUGUGUCUUCUCAGUCAUGUUGACACUGGUCUACUACCAGGUCAUGUGUCUUCUCAGUCAUGUUGACACUGGUCUACUACCAGGUCAUGUGUCUUCUCAGUCAUGUUGACACUGGUCUACUACCAGGUCAUGUGUCUUCUCAGUCAUGUUGACACUGGUCUACUACCAGGUCAUGUCUCUUCUCAGUCAUGGUGACACUGGUCUACUACCAGGUCAUGUGUCUUCUCAGUCAUGGUGACACUGGUCUACUACCAG